UCAUGAGUCACAACCACACAUCCACGUUGCCACAUCUUAUUUCCUUACUAUACUUCAUACUACAUAAUAAUACUAACAUUUAACUAAGACUUUGCUUCUCUGCAAAACUUCAAUACUACAAACUUCACCUUCAAAAUACUCAGUGUUCCUUGUUGGCUCAAUCAUGGCUUCGGCUACUUUCUCUGUAGCCAAACCAGCUAUUAAGGUCCAGUAUAACUCUAGCUUUACUAUAAAUAAGGUUCAUGCAGAAGCCAUAUUUAUAUUUACACUAGUUUUUCUUUUUCUUUGCUUUGUUUUAGGCAAAUGGGAAAGGCUUCUCUGAAUUCUCUGGUCUCCGCAACUCUUCAAGACAUCUUCCCUUUUCUAGAAAAUCUUCAGAUGAUUUUCAUUCUCUUGUUACCUUCCAGACCAAUGCAGUAAGUUCCUUAUCUCCAUUGAAUGACUAAUACUUUUGUUAUUGUAAAAAUGAAGAACUUGAUCAUAGUAUGUGUAAGAAAAAACCCUAGGGUCCCGAGAGAGUGAUCCUGAGAGUGUGAUUCUCUCAAGAUCUCAAAUUUGAAUUCUGCUAGGUGCUAACAAUGAUCCCCGCUAGUGGACGGUGGGAUUCGAAAAAAUUAAGUGACAUGUUUUACAAUUUUGCAUCUAUCUAUCUAUCAAUUUAUAUAUGUAUAUUUGAAGGUUGGAAGUAGUGGAGGACACAAGAAAAGUCUUGUAGUGGAAGCAAAACAACUGAAGGUAGCCAUAAAUGGAUUUGGAAGAAUUGGAAGGAACUUCUUGAGAUGUUGGCAUGGUCGCAAGGACUCGCCUCUUGAUGUCAUUGCCAUCAAUGACACCGGAGGUGUAAAGCAAGCUUCUCACCUUCUCAAGUAUGAUUCCACACUUGGAAUCUUUGAUGCUGAUGUUAAGCCUGUUGGUACUGAUGGCAUCUCAGUUGAUGGAAAGGUUAUCAAAGUUGUCUCGGACCGCAACCCUGCCAACCUUCCUUGGAAGUAAGCUAGUCUCUCAUUCACUGAUUUAUGAACAUGUUAUAAGUUAUUUCAAUAAGCUUUGUCUCAUAAAUGAUCAUGUUAGUAGAUAAGUUUAAAUAUAUCAAUCUAAAUAGACCCUUAAGUAGAUAAGAACUUCUCCAAUGCUCAUGGAGAAAAUUGUCUAAAGAAUAUACAUUAGUGAUUGAUCAAUAAGGACAUUUAAAUCAUACAUCAUCAUUGUGUAUCGAUUGUUGGUUACCGAUUUAUUAAGCAGCGACACACAGGCUAUAAAGAUUGCUAUUGAUAUUUUGCAGGGAG
RNAcentral lists this long non-coding RNA (1286 nucleotides) under Lathyrus oleraceus (garden pea). Its description in RNAcentral is "Pisum sativum (pea) long non-coding RNA (PSAT_LNC010044)". Lineage: Eukaryota; Viridiplantae; Streptophyta; Magnoliopsida; Fabales; Fabaceae. The record is from RNAcentral.